UUUGACGAUUCGGCUGAAAGUGCGAGGCCCAAAAAAGCGGCCGCGAUCUCUUGUCAAGAUCGCGGCCACAAGAUGU
This 76-nucleotide small RNA is filed under the name Sinorhizobium meliloti 2011. RNAcentral describes it as "putative ncRNA". Lineage: Bacteria; Pseudomonadati; Pseudomonadota; Alphaproteobacteria; Hyphomicrobiales; Rhizobiaceae. The record is from RNAcentral.